CAGCGCCAGGUAAGUUGCUCUUUCCCUCCUUGCAUUUUAAUUACAUGCUCUUGUAGCAGGCCUGCUGGUAAAAACUAAAAAAGCAAUGGCCAGCCGGGUCAAGCUUGUGACCCGGUUAGGCCUGCUGGGUCCAGCCCAGCCCCAAAAAAAAUAUAUAUAUAAAAAAAAAAAUGUGUAUGCAUGAAUAAAAAUAAUGUAAAUUUAUUGGUUUAUUCACUGAAGUCAGAGUCAGGAAUAAAAAUACCGGUUUAAAUUUAUAUUAUUUUUAUUCGUUGUAUUUUAUUUUAUUUAGCUAGAAAUAUAAAAAAUAUUUGCAUUGGUAAAAAAUAAAUUUAUUAUUAUUUAUUUAUUCACUGGCGCCAGAGUCGGGAAUAAAAUAAAAUAUUGAUCUAAUUUAUUUUAUAGCUACGUAAUAUUUACCAACGCCAGAGUUGGAAAUAUUCGUAGUUGAAUAUUCACUGGCGUCAUAGUCAGGAAUAUUAUAAGCAAAUUUUCAUAGCAUAAACUAAUAAACAUUUAGCAAUUUAAGACGAAACUAUCAAUGCAGCCAGCCUUAGGUAGGACGUUUAAGGGGUGAUAAUAUCUUUCCUUUUACGUAACUAGUCCCGAGCCAUAGAAUCUCUGUUGACCAGUUAGGGUUCCUAGUGACCGUAAUACUAGGUGGCGACUCCUUAAACAAAGACAAUUUCCCAUUAAAGUACUGGAUGCCAUAAAUCCAUUCUUUCCAUGAUAUACUUUUAUUUUUAAGGCCGCCGCGAUGUCGGGUGCGACAAUUUUUGUUAUUAAAAUAAGAAUAAAUAAAUGAAUAACAAAGAGAAACAACUGGCUAAAUAAACAAUUUUUCCAUCAUAAGUUUAAAUUUUUUAUCAACAACAUAAUUUUUUGAAUAAAAAAUUAAAAGUUAUAUUGAUUUAAAUCAUAAAACUAGAACUGUUUUCUACUUCUCUUGUAAUAAAUUUGUAUUUCUUAAGAACACAAUAAGGUCACCCUUCACUUUUUUUUUCUCAUUCUAUAAACGAUUGCAUCUAGGUGAUGUAAUAAAAUGUUUUCGAAGUUGAUUCUUGAUGGAAAGGAUAAUGGAGAUAGAGUUUUUAUGAGCCACAUUAAGGUGAUAAAAAAAUAUCAAUUUUAAUGGAGAUAGGUUUAUCUAUAAAAGAAAUAAUCAAUAGAAGUAAUUAAUAGAGGUGGUUUAGAUCUCUAACUAUGUAAGAAAAACAAUCAUUGUUUGGAAAGAGUUUUUUUAUUCAAUUUGAUUUUUAGUUUUUAGACUAAUAAAAAAAUGUUUUUGAAUUUUAGAUUACAAUAAGUUGAAGUUUAGGGAUUUUAAAUUAAAAUACCUUAAAUCUUGAUUUCUCGCUCAGUAAAAGUGAUUAAAAUUUAUUAUAAUGGAUGACAUAUCACAUGAUUAGAUAAAUUAUAUGUUAUUUAUUUAUGUUUUUAAAAAUAAAGGUAGAUCCGCAAGCUUGACCUUCUAAGUCUAUACAUGUCAGAGUUUUCUAUUAGUAAGGCACGCAAGCCCAGCAAUCUAGGCUCAUGCACACCUAACCUCUAUAGACUCUUUUUUUUAAAAUAUUAAAACAUAAUUAUUUUUAAUUAAAUAAUUACAAUAAUGUUUUAAAAAUCACUAAAUUAUGUUAUAUGUUUUUUAAAAGAUUAUAAUUCUUUAUGGUUAUAUUUAUAUUUUUUUUAUAAUCAUAUAUGAAAUUACUAUGCAUGAUAUUUUAAAACAAAGCACAUUAAUAUUCAAUAAGAAUAUAUUUUUUUGUUUCUAUACUUUCAAUUUUUUAUGUUGUUUCAUUUUAUUUUUCAUAUAGUCACACAUAAAUAAUCGGUUAAGAAAUCAUGAUAAAUAUUUAUAUAAAAAACAGAUUUUUAAUAAUUUUAUUUUAUAAAAAAAGUGAACGAAUAACGAAGAGAAAAGACUGGUUAAAUAAACUAUUUUUUCAUCCUAAGUUUAAAUAAUUUAAACCACUAUAAUUGUUUAUUUUAAUACUUUUAAUUUCUUAUUAAAAAAAAUUAUGUUGUUGAUAAGAAAUUUAAUGGCUUUGUCAUAUAAAAAUAGAAAUGCAUAAAAGGAAAAUAGAGAAUUUUAACUAAAAAACUACAUCUUUUUCUCUAAAAAAUAAAUUAUUUGAAAUUCCUUUAAGUAAUUUUUUAAUCACUGUGAAAUUAAAUAUUAAUUGGUUUUAAAAAUUACUCGAUGUCGCUUGAAAAUUAAAACCCGAGUGGAUUUCUAAUCAUUCUUGUCGUCCGGUCAAGUUUGGUGACGAGUGUCGUUUUUUUUAAACAAGUAGACGAGGUUAGAAUUUUAGCGAACGUCAGGAUUCUUUAAUUUUUAUUUAGCUCAAGACGGGUUUCGAAAAUACGUCUUUAGAGUUUAGACAUAACUAAGGAGUAAAGACGUCUUGAGAACCCCACUCGACUUUACUAGGCACCUCCAGUUGUGACUCGCCGCCUAUAAAUAAAGGAAGCCUUGCCCCUUUUCGCCCAUCUUGGAACCUCGACCUCGACAGCAUCUCCGUAGCAAAAGAAAGAAAAGAAAAUGGCUGCAAACCAGAGGCCAAAUCUUGGUUUCGAGAGAGACAGCAUCGCUGUGCAUCAUGGAGUCUUCGCUCUGCUCGUGGACACAUUAAAUAAACAGAUCCAAGUGAAAUACCAAUCCAUGCCCACUUCUCCAUACGAUACUAACAAGUGGGUCAUGUCAGCAUUUUUGGCGGCUCUAUUUGUAUACGCGACAGCAUCGGUGGCCGAGGCGAUACCGCGGAGCCAGGAAUCAGUUUACCAGAGGCUUGCCGGCAACAUCCGCCUCUUUGCCAGCGCCCUUGCUACAGUUUUCCUUCUGGUGCUUCUUAUCCCAGCUUGGGGGUAGUGUAUCAUUUCUGUUCCGUGGAUUUGUUUAUUUGUGUCAAGAAUUCUACCAAUUGCUAAGCCGAGCAUGUACUGACAUGCUGGAAAAGCUAUUUGAAGGUGAGAGGAGCCGUAAAGAGGACCCAAGCAAGUCAGCAGAAAGUGUAGCAUUGUAUUAAAUGAUUGCCUUCGAUUCACUUGCUUCCGCCCACCCAUUCUCUUCACAUGUAUUCUUAGAUUGUCAAGAUAUGUUGUAUUUGUUGUUGUACAAGAGAAUUGAAUAGAGAAGAGGCCAUUUUUUCUGUGA
Populus trichocarpa (black cottonwood) is the source of this 3154-nucleotide long non-coding RNA. RefSeq lists it as uncharacterized. The transcript is spliced from 2 exons. Lineage: Eukaryota; Viridiplantae; Streptophyta; Magnoliopsida; Malpighiales; Salicaceae. The record is from RefSeq and is a predicted model, not a curated record.